UGGGGAAUAUUGCACAAUGGGCGCAAGCCUGAUGCAGCCAUGCCGCGUGUGUGAAGAAGGCCUUCGGGUUGUAAAGCACUUUCAGCGAGGAGGAAGGUGGUGAACUUAAUACGUUCAUCAAUUGACGUUACUCGCAGAAGAAGCACCGGCUAACUCCGUGCCAGCAGCCGCGGUAAUACGGAGGGUGCAAGCGUUAAUCGGAAUUACUGGGCGUAAAGCGCACGCAGGCGGUUUGUUAAGUCAGAUGUGAAAUCCCCGGGCUCAACCUGGGAACUGCAUUUGAAACUGGCAAGCUAGAGUCUCGUAGAGGGGGGUAGAAUUCCAGGUGUAGCGGUGAAAUGCGUAGAGAUCUGGAGGAAUACCGGUGGCGAAGGCGGCCCCCCUGGACGAAGACUGACGCUCAGGUGCGAAAAGCGUGGGGCAGCAAACAGGAUUAGAUACCCUGGUAGUCCACGCUGUAAACGAUGUCGAUUUGGAGGUUGUGCCCUUGAGGCGUGGCUUCCGGAGCUAACG
RNAcentral lists this ribosomal RNA (513 nucleotides) under uncultured bacterium. Its description in RNAcentral is "partial 16S ribosomal RNA". It matches the Rfam family "Bacterial small subunit ribosomal RNA", at positions 355 to 857 of the family's 1533-position model. The record is from RNAcentral.